GAUGAACGCUAGCUACAGGCUUAACACAUGCAAGUCGAGGGGAAACGAUAGAGAAAGCUUGCUUUUUCUAGGCGUCGACCGGCGCACGGGUGAGUAACGCGUAUCCGACCUGCCCAUCACUUGGGGAUAACCUUGCGAAAGCAAGACUAAUACCCAAUGACGUCCAUAGAAGACAUCUGAAAGGGAUUAAAGAUUUAUCGGUGAUGGAUGGGGAUGCGUCUGAUUAGCUUGUUGGCGGGGUAACGGCCCACCAAGGCGACGAUCAGUAGGGGUUCUGAGAGGAAGGUCCCCCACAUGGGAACUGAGACACGGUCCAAACUCCUACGGGAGGCAGCAGUGAGGAAUAUUGGUCAAUGGGCGAGAGCCUGAACCAGCCAAGUAGCGUGCAGGAUGACGGCCCUAUGGGUUGUAAACUGCUUUUAUAAGGGAAUAAAGUGAGCCUCGUGAGGCUUUUUGCAUGUACCUUAUGAAUAAGGACCGGCUAAUUCCGUGCCAGCAGCCGCCGUAA
Molecule: ribosomal RNA, 508 nt
Filed under: uncultured bacterium
Lineage: Bacteria
Description: partial 16S ribosomal RNA
Rfam family: Bacterial small subunit ribosomal RNA
Source: RNAcentral